UACGAAGGGGGCUAGCGUUGCUCGGAAUCACUGGGCGUAAAGGGUGCGUAGGUGGGUUGGUAAGUCAGUGGUGAAAUCCCCGAGCUUAACUUGGGAACUGCCAUUGAUACUAUCAGUCUUGAAUACCGUGGAGGUCAGUGGAAUAUGUCAUGUAGCGGUGAAAUGCUUAGAUAUGACAUAGAACACCAAUUGCGAAGGCAGCUGGCUACACGAAUAUUGACACUGAGGCACGAAAGCGUGGGGAUCAAACAGG
Molecule: ribosomal RNA, 253 nt
Filed under: uncultured bacterium
Lineage: Bacteria
Description: partial 16S ribosomal RNA
Rfam family: Bacterial small subunit ribosomal RNA
Source: RNAcentral